AUCUUCAAUCCUUCAUUCCAACAAGACAGUUGAUAAAUCCCCAAUCCUACAUCUAACCUAUCUUUAGCAAUCUAUACAAGCAGUUCAUUGUCAAGACAAUCAAGAGACCAUGAUGCCGCUAGUUAUGAAAAGAGGUUUCAUGGAACAAGCAAAA
Telopea speciosissima is the source of this 154-nucleotide long non-coding RNA. RefSeq lists it as uncharacterized. The transcript is spliced from 3 exons. The record is from RefSeq and is a predicted model, not a curated record. NCBI's taxonomy places the organism in Eukaryota, Viridiplantae, Streptophyta, Magnoliopsida, Proteales, Proteaceae.